UUUUUGGUGCACCUUAAAAAGUGCUUAAAAGGGAAUCAGGUGUAAAUCCUGAACAGACCCGCUGCUGUAAACUUCAUAAAAAACCUUAGCAAUAAGUCACUGUUACUAUCGGUAAUGGGAAGGCGCGAAAGAGAAGUAAGUCAGAAGACCUGCCAGAAGUAUAU
Molecule: non-coding RNA, 164 nt
Filed under: Elizabethkingia miricola
Lineage: Bacteria; Pseudomonadati; Bacteroidota; Flavobacteriia; Flavobacteriales; Weeksellaceae
Source: RNAcentral